CUCCCAGCCUCUUCUCAAUUUUCCCUUCCUCUCCCCUCCCCUCCCCAGAAGGGAGUCACGUGAACAGAGACCAGCGGAGGCUCCAGUGGGAAACAGGAAAGUGCUUCCCACAUGGAAGGAGGUUGUUCUGGCUUCGGAGGCAUCCUGAAGGGAUGAAAUCACAGAAUGUUCUUACGUUGGUGUCACAGAGAAAAAUGAGAUCCUGUAUAUUUCUCUGAUCCUGUCAAAGCUGGACUCCUGCAAAUACACAUGCUUCUUUAGGAUUGUUCAUCAGCUUUACCACUACCGCUAUCUAUGCCCAAGCAAUCUUUCAAAGCCUGGAGCGAAGCUGAGAUGCUGACUGGCUGUUGAGGACCCAACAAGCUUCUGCCUCUGCCAUGUACAUGAGUACUGCCAUGAUUCUGGCUAUCUCCAACAACCCAAGCAACCUUCUGCAGACUGGAGCUGAGAUCUUCACAAGACUGGAGAAAGGGAGGGAGGGACCAAGGUAUGGGCUUGGGUUUUAUUGCAAGUCAACUAGUAUAGCCUCAUUGGCACAUGCUGACAUGGGUUGGUUGGUUGGUUGGUUGAUUGGUUUUUACCAUCUUUUGGAUUUCAGGUAUCCUAAGUUAUGAAAAUAAUUAUUAAAUUAUUGUUUUAUCUUUGAUGCAUAAUUUCUGUUUUGGAGAGGUUUGAGAGGUCAGGGGGAUUGGAGAAAACAGCCAUUCCUCCAUCUUGUUGAUCAUGUGACCAGCAAAGCUUGAGCAUAUAUUCAAAUAAGGAAACAUGAUACACAUAGAGGUUUGGUAUCCAGGGAAGUGUGUUUUGGUGUGAAUUAUGUCCUUAUUAGCACAGUAUAUAAUGUAAUAUGUCCCUAGUUAAAAGAUGUUCUUUAUGGUCAGGAUGUGUGAUUUUUGUCUUUGUAUCCUGGUGGGGAAAUUCUCUCCACCAAUACAGAUCAGCAUCCAAUCUGCAACUUAAGGCAUUAAGAAUGCCUUAAGUGACUUGCCCAGGGUCACACAGCUGAUAUUUGUCAUAGCAGGAUAUCAAAGUUUAGUUUCAUCUCUAAUAUUUUAUGUUACCAAAUCUCUAUCUACUAUACCAUUCUGCCUCUCAAAAAGUAUAUUACUUUUUCAAAUUUGUUUGAUACAUAACCAGUCCAGUUUUCCUCUUAUGACAUUCUGGGUGAAGAGUAUCAAUGAAGGGAAGGGGACAUAUAUUCUUCCUCUAUGGCUCCUCAUAAAUCAAGAGGACAUUUCUCUGAAGGUUUAACAUUGAUCCCAAUUCAUAUAUCUGAGAACUAGACAGAAUAUGAACUGUAUGUUUAUCCUAUCAACUCUCUCUAAAAUGUUUAGUAAAAUGAUAGGAGAAGAAAAUAGUGGAUGUUUUCCUAUUAAGGAGUGAGGCAAAAUUAGGCUAUAGUAGUCAAAUACUAAAUAUUGUAGUCAAAUAAUAAGCAAGGAAGAUGAUUAAAUACGGGGUCCCUAAGUAAAAAUACUAGAGGUUUUCAUUGCAAAGUAACUAUUUCUCUAUAAGUUGGAGGGCUCAGUAACUUUUCAAAACAACAAUAAUAAUGAAGAGGAUGUCUCCCAUGCUAAAGGUAACAAAUCCACAUAGCUAUAUUUUGUCCUAUUUGCCAGGGUCAAAUCUGAUGAGCUAGCAUUUUUCUGACUUCUUUUUCAUGGUGGGUCAUGGUCAGGAAAUGGACCUAACUAAAUUAUUUGUCCUGUUUAUGCAUUAAAUCCAAGCCAAUGCAUCACUAAGAAGGAAGGAGAAAGGCAAAACCAAUAAAUACUGUACAAGGAAACUUGUCAUGUAUGUUGGAGGAUCUACAAAACUGAGAGAGCUGAGGUCACAGAGACCUAAAAUUGGUGACUAAAUGAUUUGUUGUCAACAAAGCUAUAAAAACCCUGGAGGCUUUUACUGGAUAGCAGCUAGUGGCCAAGUGGACUUGGAUUUGGAUCCAGGCUCUAAAUAGCUGGUCAUAGAGGAAAGAGAAGGAAGGAAUUCAGUUGGUCUUGAGUUUUUCCUUCCUACUGUAGAACUAUAAACUCUCAAGAUCAAGUACAGGGCAGAAAAAUCUCUGUUGCAGGAAAUCCUGGCUUGGCUUUUGUUCUCUAAAGAUUGCCUGCUGAGCGCCUUCUUAUCCUUUUUCUCUUCAGACACCUGGGGUCCAUGUGCAGUCUCUUACUGAUUUUAUCACAAAUUUACAAUGAUAUUCUGUUGUUAUUAUGAUAGUUUGGUUACUGUGAGUCAUGAUAAAAGCAAAACUAAAAUCACAGCAGUUGUUUGCGAGAAUAGAUCACGAUGCUCAUAUGGAAAGGAAAUCCACCGAUGUGAGUUAACUUCAGUUCUUCCAAUAGGGUCAGGAAUUGGGGUUGGGAAUGCAAAUGCAGAUGGAGAAGUCUAACCACACUUGAUUUCAGGUAUAGGCCAUUCAUCCUGGAUGGUGUUCCUCUGAACAAACAUAAUAAUGAGAGAUGUAUUCACAGGAUCAUAGAAUGUUAAGUUCAUCUAGUCCAACUCCUUUAUCUGCCAGAGAAUUAAAAGACUUGGCCAAAUUUAGCAGCUCAGUAGUUGCCAAGCCAGCACUAUAUCCCAAGUCUCCUGAAUCUUAGUCUAGAGCACUGUAAUAUUAAUAAUAAUUGUUAUUGUUAUGAUGCUAGCGCUGCUACUGAUGAUGAUGAUGAAGAAAUUUACAUACCAUUUUAAAGUUCACUAAGCAACUUACAUGUACUGUUGUUGUUAGUGUCGUUUAAUUGUUCAGUUCUCUCUGAUUCUUUAUGGUCCGAUAAACAAUAGCAUGCCAGGGCCUUCUAUCCUCCACUAUCUCUCAAAGUCUGUCCAAUUUCAUGUUAAUUUUUUCCAUGAUACUAUUCAUUUUAUCCUCUGUCAUCCCCUUUUCCUUUUGCCUUCAAUCUUUCACUCUGGUGUUAUUACAUAUACAGGGUUUCCCAAAAGUAUGGUUUUAAGUUAUUAAAGUUUAAAAUUACACUAAAACUUUAGGGCUCCCUGUAUUAUCUUAUUUGAGUCUCACAACAACCCUAUAAAGUAGUUACUACUUUAUUAUUAUCCCUAUUUUACAAAUGAGAAAACUAAGGCUCAGACUUGCUCAUGGUCACAUAGCCAAUUAAUUAAGUAUCAGAUAUAGAUUCAAGCACAGGUUUUUGUGACUUCAAGUCCAGCAAUGUAUCAUCUUCAUUGGCCUUCUUCUUUCCACUAUUCCACAUACUUAAUCAAAUUCCUCUGCUUCUUUGAUUUGCCCCUACUUGCCUAUCCAAUCUUAUUUCCUCACACAUUUCAAAACACAAGCUUAACUCUAGGGAGGCUUGGCUCUUCACUGUCUUUCACAUAUUGUACUCUCUUUUGAUAUUAAGCAGUGAUUUUUUGGGCUGCCAUUGAUAUAGGCAGGAUGAAUUUUUAAAAGAUAUUGCGGGGGCAGCUAGGUGGCACA
Molecule: long non-coding RNA, 3433 nt
Organism: Dromiciops gliroides (monito del monte)
Lineage: Eukaryota; Metazoa; Chordata; Mammalia; Microbiotheria; Microbiotheriidae
Exons: 4
Source: RefSeq, a predicted model, not a curated record